GAUGAACGCUGGCGGCGUGCCUAAUACAUGCAAGUCGAGCGAACAGAUGAGGAGCUUGCUCCUCUGACGUUAGCGGCGGACGGGUGAGUAACACGUGGAUAACCUACCUAUAAGACUGGGAUAACUUCGGGAAACCGGAGCUAAUACCGGAUAAUAUAUUGAACCGCAUGGUUCAAUAGUGAAAGACGGUUUUGCUGUCACUUAUAGAUGGAUCCGCGCCGCAUUAGCUAGUUGGUAAGGUAACGGCUUACCAAGGCAACGAUGCGUAGCCGACCUGAGAGGGUGAUCGGCCACACGGGAACUGAGACACGGUCCAGACUCCUACGGGAGGCAGCAGUAGGGAAUCUUCCGCAAUGGGCGAAAGCCUGACGGAGCAACGCCGCGUGAGUGAUGAAGGUCUUCGGAUCGUAAAACUCUGUUAUUAGGGAAGAAAAAAUGUGUAAGUAACUAUGCACGUCUUGACGGUACCUAAUCAGAAAGCCACGGCUAACUACG
This 495-nucleotide ribosomal RNA is filed under the name uncultured bacterium. RNAcentral describes it as "partial 16S ribosomal RNA". It matches the Rfam family "Bacterial small subunit ribosomal RNA", at positions 28 to 505 of the family's 1533-position model. The record is from RNAcentral.